GAGAAUAGUCUACAAUGGUCGAAAGACUGAUAGUGCGACGCCGCGUGAACGAAGAAUCCCUUCGGGGUGUAAAGUUCUUUUUUAAUCGAGCAAUGCCUUUUAUGUGAUAAGCAUGAGAGGAGAGAUAUUAGGUUAAGAAUAAGCAACGGCUAACUCCGUGCCAGCAGCCGCGGUAACACGGGGGUUGCAAGCGUUGUCCGGAAUUACUAGGCGUAAAGGGCAGGUAGGCGGAUAUAUAAGUUUUGUGUUAAAGGCAUCGGCUUAACCGGUGUAAGGCAUAGGAUACUGUAUAUCUGGAAUGCGGUUGAGGAAGACAGAAUUCCUGGUGUAGCGGUGGAAUGCGCAGAGAUCAGGAGGAAUACCAAAGGCGAAGGCAGUCUUCCAUACCGUAAUUGACGCUGAACUGCGAAGGUGUGGGGAUCAAACA
Molecule: ribosomal RNA, 427 nt
Filed under: uncultured prokaryote
Description: bacterial SSU rRNA
Rfam family: Bacterial small subunit ribosomal RNA
Source: RNAcentral